UACAGAGGGUGCGAGCGUUAAUCGGAAUUACUGGGCGUAAAGCGCGCGUAGGCGGCUCUGCAAGUCGGGUGUGAAAUCCCCAGGCUUAACCUGGGAACUGCAUUCGAGACUGCAUUGCUAGAGUAUGGGAGAGGGAAGUGGAAUUUCCGGUGUAGCGGUGAAAUGCGUAGAUAUCGGAAGGAACACCAGUGGCGAAAGCGGCUUCCUGGUCCAGCACCGACGUUCAGGCACGAAAGCGUGGGGAGCAAACAGG
This 253-nucleotide ribosomal RNA is filed under the name uncultured bacterium. RNAcentral describes it as "partial 16S ribosomal RNA". It matches the Rfam family "Bacterial small subunit ribosomal RNA", at positions 524 to 776 of the family's 1533-position model. The record is from RNAcentral.